This 491-nucleotide ribosomal RNA is filed under the name uncultured bacterium. RNAcentral describes it as "partial 16S ribosomal RNA". It matches the Rfam family "Bacterial small subunit ribosomal RNA", at positions 29 to 506 of the family's 1533-position model. The record is from RNAcentral.
AGUGAACGCUGGCGGUAGGCCUAACACAUGCAAGUCGAACGGCAGCACAGUAAGAGCUUGCUCUUACGGGUGGCGAGUGGCGGACGGGUGAGGAAUACAUCGGAAUCUACUUUUUCGUGGGGGAUAACGUAGGGAAACUUACGCUAAUACCGCAUACGACCUACGGGUGAAAGCAGGGGAUCUUCGGACCUUGCGCGAUUGAAUGAGCCGAUGUCGGAUUAGCUAGUUGGCGGGGUAAAGGCCCACCAAGGCGGCGAUCCGUAGCUGGUCUGAGAGGAUGAUCAGCCACACUGGAACUGAGACACGGUCCAGACUCCUACGGGAGGCAGCAGUGGGGAAUAUUGGACAAUGGGCGCAAGCCUGAUCCAGCCAUACCGCGUGGGUGAAGAAGGCCUUCGGGUUGUAAAGCCCUUUUGUUGGGAAAGAAAAGCAGCGGGUUAAUACCCCGCUGUUCUGACGGUACCCAAAGAAUAAGCACCGGCUAACUUCGU